GCAGCUAGUACACCACUGAAUCCUUUAAGCUUUCAGUGUGAAUUUGUAAAACUCAGGAUUGACCUUUUACAAGCCUUCUCUCAACUUAUCUGUACUUGUAAUAGCCUGAAGACAAGCCCACCACCUGCAAUUGCCACAACAAUUGCCAUGACCUUAGGAAAUGACCUCCAGAGGUGUGGUCGCAUCUCCAAUCAGAUGAAACAGUCCAUGGAAGAAUUUCGAAGCCUUGCUUCUCGAUAUGGAGAUCUUUACCAGGCAUCUUUUGAUGCUGACUCAGCAACUUUGAGGAAUGUUGAACUACAGCAGCAGAGCUGUUUACUGAUAUCUCAUGCAAUAGAAGCCCUGAUUUUGGAUCCAGAAUCAGCAAGGUAAUUCUAAUAUUAAUAAUAGUUGACGUUACAGAACACUUUCUAUACAUUGUCUUACCUAAUUAUCAGAAGACUAUUUUGGAGCUAGUAUUAUGGAAGUAAAAACAAAGUGGAAGAAUUCUUCAGCAUUUUUUGUGGGUCACAUAACUAGUGACAAAACAUAGAUUUACCUCCUGCCUCCUGUUUUCAAAAAGUUAACAUGGAAAGAUAACUGGGAAGACAUUCUUUGAAUAUGAGCAAUUUCUUCUUGUAUGUUAUAAUUAUACUAUGAAAGAUUGAGUUAAUGAUACAAUUAAACUUGAACUU
Molecule: small RNA, 674 nt
Filed under: Pan troglodytes (chimpanzee)
Lineage: Eukaryota; Metazoa; Chordata; Mammalia; Primates; Hominidae
Description: retained intron
Source: RNAcentral